This 63-nucleotide transfer RNA is filed under the name Bathymodiolus aduloides. RNAcentral's name for it is "tRNA-Asp". It matches the Rfam family "tRNA". From Rfam's summary of the family: Transfer RNA (tRNA) molecules are approximately 80 nucleotides in length. Their secondary structure includes four short double-helical elements and three loops (D, anti-codon, and T loops). The record is from RNAcentral. Lineage: Eukaryota; Metazoa; Mollusca; Bivalvia; Mytilida; Modiolidae.
GAGAAAGUAGUUAAGUAUAACAUUGGUUUGUCAGACCAAAGUCAGCAGUAUUGCUUUUUUUCA